GGAGUGGGGGGGGGUUCUGGCGUUGCGGUCUGUAAGCUCGAGCGAACGGAUAAGGAGCUUGCUCCUUUGAAGUUAGCGGCGGAGGGAGAGUAACACGUGGGUAACCUACCUAUAAGACUGGAAUAACUUCGGGAAACCGGAGCUAAUGCCGGAUAACAUUUGGAACCGCAUGGUUCUAAAGUAAAAGAUGGUUUUGCUAUCACUUAUAGAUGGACCCGCGCCGUAUUAGCUAGUUGGUAAGGUAACGGCUUACCAAGGCAACGAUACGUAGCCGACCUGAGAGGGUGAUCGGCCACACUGGAACUGAGACACGGUCCAGACUCCUACGGGAGGCAGCAGUAGGGAAUCUUCCGCAAUGGACGAAAGUCUGACGGAGCAACGCCGCGUGAGUGAUGAAGGUUUUCGGAUCGUAAAACUCUGUUAUUAGGGAAGAACAAAUGUGUAAGUAACUGUGCACAUCUUGACGGUACCUAAUCAGAAAGCCACGGCUAACUACGUGCCAGCAGCCGCGGUAAUACGUAGGUGGCAAGCGUUAUCCGGAAUUAUUGGGGCGUAAAGCGCGCGUAGGCGGUUUCUUAAGUCUGAUGUGAAAAGCCCACGGCUCAACCGUGGAGGGUCAUUGGGAAACUGGGGAAACUUGAGUACAGAAGAGGAAAGUGGAAUUCCAUGUGUAGCGGUGAAAUGCGCAGAGAUAUGGAGGGAACACCAGUGGCGAAGGCGACUUUCUGGUCUGUAACUGGACGCUGAUGUGCGAAAGCGGGGGGGAUCAAACAGAUUAGAUACCCUGGUUAGUCCACGCCAGUAACGAUGAGUGCUAAGUGUUAGGGGGGUUCCGGCCCCUUAGUGCUGCGGCUAACGCAUUAAGCAACUGCCGCCGGGGGGGAUGUACGACCGCAAGGUUUGAAACUCAAAGGAUUUGGACGGGCACCCCCGCACAGACGGUUGGGAGCUA
Molecule: ribosomal RNA, 952 nt
Filed under: Staphylococcus equorum
Lineage: Bacteria; Bacillati; Bacillota; Bacilli; Caryophanales; Staphylococcaceae
Description: bacterial SSU rRNA
Rfam family: Bacterial small subunit ribosomal RNA
Source: RNAcentral